RNAcentral lists this ribosomal RNA (253 nucleotides) under uncultured bacterium. RNAcentral describes it as "partial 16S ribosomal RNA". It matches the Rfam family "Bacterial small subunit ribosomal RNA", at positions 524 to 776 of the family's 1533-position model. The record is from RNAcentral.
UACGUAGGGUGCAAGCGUUGUCCGGAAUUAUUGGGCGUAAAGAGCUCGUAGGCGGUCUGUCGCGUCGGCUGUGAAAACCUGGGGCUCAACUCCGGGCCUGCAGCCGAUACGGGCAGACUAGAAUUCGGUAGGGGAGACUGGAAUUCCUGGUGUAGCGGUGAAAUGCGCAGAUAUCAGGAGGAACACCGGUGGCGAAGGCGGGUCUCUGGGCCGAUAUUGACGCUGAGGAGCGAAAGCGUGGGGAGCGAACAGG